Small nuclear RNA from Castor canadensis (American beaver), 90 nucleotides. The record is from Ensembl. NCBI's taxonomy places the organism in Eukaryota, Metazoa, Chordata, Mammalia, Rodentia, Castoridae.
GUGCUCGAUUUGGCAGUACAUAUACUAAAAUUGGAACGAUAGCUCCUGCGCAAAGAUGACACGCAAAUUCGACAAGCGUUCCAUUAAAAA